RNAcentral lists this ribosomal RNA (496 nucleotides) under uncultured bacterium. Its description in RNAcentral is "partial 16S ribosomal RNA". It matches the Rfam family "Bacterial small subunit ribosomal RNA", at positions 29 to 507 of the family's 1533-position model. The record is from RNAcentral.
AUGCACGCUGGCGGCGUGCCUCAUACAUGCAAGUCGAGCGAACAGACGAGGAGCUUGCUCCUCUGACGUUAGCGGCGGACGGGUGAGUAACACGUGGAUAACCUACCUAUAAGCCUGUGAUAACUUCGGGAAACCGGAGCUAAUACCGGAUAAUAUAUUGAACCGCAUGGUUCAAUAGUGAAAGACGGUUUUGCUUUCACUUAUAGAUGGAUCCGCGCCGCAUUAGCUAGUUGGUAAGGUAACGGCUUACCAAGGCAACGAUGCAUAGCCGACCUGAGAGGGUGAUCGGCCACACUGGAACUGAGACACGGUCCAGACUCCUACGGGAGGCAGCAGUAGGGAAGCUUCCGCAAUGGGCGAAAGCCUGACGGAGCAACGCCGCGUGAGUGAUGAAGGUCUUCGGAUCGUAAAACUCUGUUAUUAGGGAAGAACAAAUGUGUAAGUAACUAUGCACGUCUUGACGGUACCUAAUCAGAAAGCCACGGCUAACUACGUG